GGUACCUUCUUUUUAGGAAAUGCAAACUAUUUCUAGUACCUCUGCCAUGGCCCCCAAAUGUCAACUUUUCUCUGCCACAUGUGUAGAGAUAAACAAUCAUUAGCUGAUUAGUGAAUAUGUAAGGGAAUAGGUGUGCAUCCACACUGUAGAAUUAAUAGAGUUUGAUACCACUUUAAAUGUCAUUGCUUAAUGCUAUGAAAUUCUGGGAGUUGUAGUUUGAUGAAGCACCAGUACUCUUUGGCAAAGAAGACUAAAUACAUUGUCUUUGUGACUCUCAUAUGCUUUCAUGUUCUAUGCCUGCAAAAGACCCCAUUUAAUGCUUUUUAGAGUAGAGUGAAAAAAAUUAUGAACAAUACACAUACAGUGUUCCUUCGCAACUUUGCGGUUCGCUUUUCGCAGACUUGCUGUUUCGCGGGUUUUUGCCUCCUGGCAAUGAUGGACUGUAGAAGGGGGUUUCACCCUCUCCCUUGGGAGAGAGACAGCCAAUCAUAAAAAAGAGAGGAGAUACAAAGCAGUAUGUAAAUCACGGUCUUAUAGCUCCAUCCUUUUAG
This is a non-coding RNA of Anolis sagrei ordinatus, 551 nucleotides long. The record is from RefSeq and is a predicted model, not a curated record. NCBI's taxonomy places the organism in Eukaryota, Metazoa, Chordata, Lepidosauria, Squamata, Anolidae.